RNAcentral lists this ribosomal RNA (492 nucleotides) under uncultured bacterium. RNAcentral's name for it is "partial 16S ribosomal RNA". It matches the Rfam family "Bacterial small subunit ribosomal RNA", at positions 29 to 507 of the family's 1533-position model. The record is from RNAcentral.
AGUGAACGCUGGCGGUAGGCCUAACACAUGCAAGUCGAACGGCAGCACAGUAAGAGCUUGCUCUUACGGGUGGCGAGUGGCGGACGGGUGAGGAAUACAUCGGAAUCUACUUUUUCGUGGGGGAUAACGUAGGGAAACUUACGCUAAUACCGCAUACGACCUACGGGUGAAAGCAGGGGAUCUUCGGACCUUGCGCGAUUGAAUGAGCCGAUGUCGGAUUAGCUAGUUGGCGGGGUAAAGGCCCACCAAGGCGACGAUCCGUAGCUGGUCUGAGAGGAUGAUCGGCCACACUGGAACUGAGACACGGUCCAGACUCCUGCGGGAGGCAGCAGUGGGGAAUAUUAGACAGUGGGCGCAAGCCUGAUCCAGCCAUACCGCGUGGGUGAAGAAGGCCUUCGGGUUGUAAAGCCCUUUUGUUGGGAAAGAAAAGCAGCAGGUUAAUACCCCGCUGUUCUGACGGUACCCAAAGAAUAAGCACCGGCUAACUUCGUG